This 107-nucleotide small nuclear RNA is filed under the name Sciurus vulgaris (Eurasian red squirrel). Lineage: Eukaryota; Metazoa; Chordata; Mammalia; Rodentia; Sciuridae. The record is from RNAcentral.
GUACUCACUUUGGUAGCACAUAUACUAAAAUUGGAAAGAUACAGAGAAGAUUAGCCGGGCCCCUGUGCAAGGAUGACAUGCAAAUUCAUGAAGCAUUCAAAUUUAUU